This 1528-nucleotide ribosomal RNA is filed under the name Lactobacillus crispatus. Its description in RNAcentral is "bacterial SSU rRNA". It matches the Rfam family "Bacterial small subunit ribosomal RNA". Lineage: Bacteria; Bacillati; Bacillota; Bacilli; Lactobacillales; Lactobacillaceae. The record is from RNAcentral.
AGACUUUGAUCCUGGCUCAGGACGAACGCUGGCGGCGUGCCUAAUACAUGCAAGUCGAGCGAGCGGAACUAACAGAUUUACUUCGGUAAUGACGUUAGGAAAGCGAGCGGCGGAUGGGUGAGUAACACGUGGGGAACCUGCCCCAUAGUCUGGGAUACCACUUGGAAACAGGUGCUAAUACCGGAUAAGAAAGCAGAUCGCAUGAUCAGCUUUUAAAAGGCGGCGUAAGCUGUCGCUAUGGGAUGGCCCCGCGGUGCAUUAGCUAGUUGGUAAGGUAAAGGCUUACCAAGGCGAUGAUGCAUAGCCGAGUUGAGAGACUGAUCGGCCACAUUGGGACUGAGACACGGCCCAAACUCCUACGGGAGGCAGCAGUAGGGAAUCUUCCACAAUGGACGCAAGUCUGAUGGAGCAACGCCGCGUGAGUGAAGAAGGUUUUCGGAUCGUAAAGCUCUGUUGUUGGUGAAGAAGGAUAGAGGUAGUAACUGGCCUUUAUUUGACGGUAAUCAACCAGAAAGUCACGGCUAACUACGUGCCAGCAGCCGCGGUAAUACGUAGGUGGCAAGCGUUGUCCGGAUUUAUUGGGCGUAAAGCGAGCGCAGGCGGAAGAAUAAGUCUGAUGUGAAAGCCCUCGGCUUAACCGAGGAACUGCAUCGGAAACUGUUUUUCUUGAGUGCAGAAGAGGAGAGUGGAACUCCAUGUGUAGCGGUGGAAUGCGUAGAUAUAUGGAAGAACACCAGUGGCGAAGGCGGCUCUCUGGUCUGCAACUGACGCUGAGGCUCGAAAGCAUGGGUAGCGAACAGGAUUAGAUACCCUGGUAGUCCAUGCCGUAAACGAUGAGUGCUAAGUGUUGGGAGGUUUCCGCCUCUCAGUGCUGCAGCUAACGCAUUAAGCACUCCGCCUGGGGAGUACGACCGCAAGGUUGAAACUCAAAGGAAUUGACGGGGGCCCGCACAAGCGGUGGAGCAUGUGGUUUAAUUCGAAGCAACGCGAAGAACCUUACCAGGUCUUGACAUCUAGUGCCAUUUGUAGAGAUACAAAGUUCCCUUCGGGGACGCUAAGACAGGUGGUGCAUGGCUGUCGUCAGCUCGUGUCGUGAGAUGUUGGGUUAAGUCCCGCAACGAGCGCAACCCUUGUUAUUAGUUGCCAGCAUUAAGUUGGGCACUCUAAUGAGACUGCCGGUGACAAACCGGAGGAAGGUGGGGAUGACGUCAAGUCAUCAUGCCCCUUAUGACCUGGGCUACACACGUGCUACAAUGGGCAGUACAACGAGAAGCGAGCCUGCGAAGGCAAGCGAAUCUCUGAAAGCUGUUCUCAGUUCGGACUGCAGUCUGCAACUCGACUGCACGAAGCUGGAAUCGCUAGUAAUCGCGGAUCAGCACGCCGCGGUGAAUACGUUCCCGGGCCUUGUACACACCGCCCGUCACACCAUGGGAGUCUGCAAUGCCCAAAGCCGGUGGCCUAACCUUCGGGAAGGAGCCGUCUAAGGCAGGGCAGAUGACUGGGGUGAAGUCGUAACAAGCUAGCCGUA